AGCCGCGGGAACACCGGCGGCCCGAGUGGUGAUCGUGAUUAUUGGGUCUAAAGGGUCCGUAGCCGGUUUGGUCAGUCCUCCGGGAAAUCUGAUAGCUCAACUAUUAGGCUUUCGGGGGAUACUGCCAGACUUGGAACCGGGAGAGGUAAGAGGUACUACAGGGGUAGGAGUGAAAUCUUGUAAUCCCUGUGGGACCACCUGUGGCGAAGGCGUCUUACCAGAACGGGUUCGACGGUGAGGGACGAAAGCUGGGGGCACGAACCGGAUUAGAUACCCGGGUAGUCCCAGCCGUAAACGAUGCUCGCUAGGUGUCAGGCAUGGCGCGACCGUGUCUGGUGCCGCAGGGAAGCCGUGAAGCGAGCCACCUGGGAAGUACGGCCGCAAGGCUGAAACUUAAAGGAAUUGGCGGGGGAGCACAACAACGGGUGGAGCCCUGCGGUUUAAUUGGACUCAACGCCGGACAACUCACCGGGGGCGACAGCAAUAUGUAGGCCAAGCUGAAGACUUUGCCUGAAUCGCUGAGAGGAGGUGCAUGG
RNAcentral lists this ribosomal RNA (536 nucleotides) under uncultured archaeon. RNAcentral's name for it is "bacterial SSU rRNA". It matches the Rfam family "Archaeal small subunit ribosomal RNA", at positions 463 to 997 of the family's 1478-position model. The record is from RNAcentral.